UACGGGGGGGGGCAAGCGUUGUUCGGAAUUACUGGGCGUAAAGGGCUCGUAGGCGGCCAACUAAGUCGGACGUGAAAUCCCCAGGCUCAACCUGGGAACUGCGUCCGAUACUGGAUGGCUUGAAUUCGGGAGAGGGAUGCAGAAUUCCAGGUGUAGCGGUGAAAUGCGUAGAUAUCUGGAGGAAUACCGGUGGCGAAGGCGGCAUCCUGGACCGACAUUGACGCUGAGGAGCGAAAGCUAGGGGAGCAAACGGGG
This 255-nucleotide ribosomal RNA is filed under the name uncultured bacterium. RNAcentral describes it as "partial 16S ribosomal RNA". It matches the Rfam family "Bacterial small subunit ribosomal RNA", at positions 524 to 777 of the family's 1533-position model. The record is from RNAcentral.